RNAcentral lists this non-coding RNA (264 nucleotides) under Microbotryum lychnidis-dioicae. The record is from RNAcentral. Lineage: Eukaryota; Fungi; Basidiomycota; Microbotryomycetes; Microbotryales; Microbotryaceae.
UAAGGGUUGCAAAGUUGAAAACAUACUAUUUAAAAUUGUGUUUUUGGAAAGUCCUAGGUGUAAGAAAAUAUACAAAAUGGAUUAAACUAUGACAUACUUACAGAAAUAUUAUACUUAAACUUAGACUGUUUACGUAUCGAACUGAAGUCUAUAUACACUACCUUAUUCAGAUUUUUAACAAUUAAUCAACUUAAUAUCUCCCCUGCCUUUUGAUGAAAAAGGAAAGUGGCUUGAUAUACAGAAUUAGGCUUAUAGCAACCCUUA